This 1551-nucleotide ribosomal RNA is filed under the name Lactiplantibacillus plantarum. Its description in RNAcentral is "bacterial SSU rRNA". It matches the Rfam family "Bacterial small subunit ribosomal RNA". The record is from RNAcentral. Lineage: Bacteria; Bacillati; Bacillota; Bacilli; Lactobacillales; Lactobacillaceae. RNAcentral also lists the same sequence under 1 other name.
GGCGUGCCUAAUACAUGCAAGUCGAACGAACUCUGGUAUAGAUUGGUGCUUGCAUCAUGAUUUACAUUUGAGUGAGUGGCGAACUGGUGAGUAACACGUGGGAAACCUGCCCAGAAGCGGGGGAUAACACCUGGAAACAGAUGCUAAUACCGCAUAACAACUUGGACCGCAUGGUCCGAGUCUUGAAAGAUGGCUAUCGGCUAUCACUUUUGGAUGGUCCCGCGGCGUAUUAGCUAGAUGGUGGGGUAACGGCUCACCAUGGCAAUGAUACGUAGCCGACCUGAGAGGGUAAUCGGCCACAUUGGGACUGAGACACGGCCCAAACUCCUACGGGAGGCAGCAGUAGGGAAUCUUCCACAAUGGACGAAAGUCUGAUGGAGCAACGCCGCGUGAGUGAAGAAGGGUUUGCGGCUCGUAAAACUCUGUUGUUAAAGAAGAACAUAUCUGAGAGUAACUGUUCAGGUAUUGACGGUAUGUAACCAGAAAGCCACGGCUAACUACGUGCCAGCAGCCGCGGUAAUACGUAGGUGGCAAGCGUUGUCCGGAUUUAUUGGGCGUAAAGCGAGCGCAGGCGGUUUUUUAAGUCUGAUGUGAAAGCCUUCGGCUCAACCGAAGAAGUGCAUCGGAAACUGGGAAACUUGAGUGCAGAAGAGGACAGUGGAACUCCAUGUGUAGCGGUGAAAUGCGUAGAUAUAUGGAAGAACACCAGUGGCGAAGGCGGCUGUCUGGUCUGUAACUGACGCUGAGGCUCGAAAGUAUGGGUAGCAAACAGGAUUAGAUACCCUGGUAGUCCAUACCGUAAACGAUGAAUGCUAAGUGUUGGAGGGUUUCCGCCCUUCAGUGCUGCAGCUAACGCAUUAAGCAUUCCGCCUGGGGAGUACGGCCGCAAGGCUGAAACUCAAAGGAAUUGACGGGGGCCCGCACAAGCGGUGGAGCAUGUGGUUUAAUUCGAAGCUACGCGAAGAACCUUACCAGGUCUUGACAUACUAUGCAAAUCUAAGAGAUUAGACGUUCCCUUCGGGGACAUGGAUACAGGUGGUGCAUGGUUGUCGUCAGCUCGUGUCGUGAGAUGUUGGGUUAAGUCCCGCAACGAGCGCAACCCUUAUUAUCAGUUGCCAGCAUUAAGUUGGGCACUCUGGUGAGACUGCCGGUGACAAACCGGAGGAAGGUGGGGAUGACGUCAAAUCAUCAUGCCCCUUAUGACCUGGGCGUACACACGUGCGUACAAUGGAUGGUACAAACGAGUUGCGAGACUCUGCGAGAGUAAGGCUAAUACUCUCUAUAAGCCACAUUCUUCAGUUCGGAUUUGUAGGGCUGCACACAUCUGCGCUACAUGAAGUCUGGAAUCUGCGUAGUAAUACUGCGGAUCAGCAUGCCGCGGUGAAUAACGUUUCUCCGGGCCCUUGUACACACCGCCCGUCACACCAUGAAGAGUUUGUAACACCCCAAGUACGGUGGGGUGAACCUCUUUAGGAACCAGCCGCCGUCAAGGUGGGUACAAGAAUGAUUGAGGGUGGAAGUCGUAUAUCAAGGUAGCGGGUAGGAGAUCGU